This 130-nucleotide ribosomal RNA is filed under the name Krameria spartioides. Its description in RNAcentral is "partial 5.8S ribosomal RNA". It matches the Rfam family "5.8S ribosomal RNA", at positions 30 to 154 of the family's 154-position model. Rfam says of the family: 5.8S ribosomal RNA (5.8S rRNA) is a component of the large subunit of the eukaryotic ribosome. It is transcribed by RNA polymerase I as part of the 45S precursor that also contains 18S and 28S rRNA. Lineage: Eukaryota; Viridiplantae; Streptophyta; Magnoliopsida; Zygophyllales; Krameriaceae. The record is from RNAcentral.
GCAUCGAUGAAGAACGCAGCKAAAUSCGAUACUUGGUGUGAAUUGCAGAAUCCCGUGCACCAUCGAGUCUUUGAACGCAAGUUGCGCCUGAAGCCGUUAGGUUGAGGGCACGUCUGCCUGGGUGUCACAC